Molecule: ribosomal RNA, 253 nt
Filed under: uncultured bacterium
Lineage: Bacteria
Description: partial 16S ribosomal RNA
Rfam family: Bacterial small subunit ribosomal RNA
Source: RNAcentral
UACGUAGGGGGCAAGCGUUGUCCGGAUUUAUUGGGCGUAAAGAGCGUGUAGGCGGUUUUACAGGUCCGCUGUGAAAACUCGAGGCUCAACCUCGAGCUGUCGGUGGAAACCGUAAGGCUAGAGUCCGGAAGAGGAGAGUGGAAUUCCUGGUGUAGCGGUGAAAUGCGCAGAUAUCAGGAAGAACACCCGUGGCGAAAGCGGCGCACUGGACCACAACUGACGCUGAGGCGCGAAAGCUAGGGGAGCAAACAGG